Molecule: ribosomal RNA, 1747 nt
Filed under: Salmonella enterica subsp. enterica serovar London
Lineage: Bacteria; Pseudomonadati; Pseudomonadota; Gammaproteobacteria; Enterobacterales; Enterobacteriaceae
Description: partial 23S ribosomal RNA
Rfam family: Bacterial large subunit ribosomal RNA
Source: RNAcentral
CUGAUGCGUUGUUGGGUAGGGGAGCGUUCUGUAAGCCUGUGAAGGUGGCCUGUGAGGGUUGCUGGAGGUAUCAGAAGUGCGAAUGCUGACAUAAGUAACGAUAAAGCGGGUGAAAAGCCCGCUCGCCGGAAGACCAAGGGUUCCUGUCCAACGUUAAUCGGGGCAGGGUGAGUCGACCCCUAAGGCGAGGCCGAAAGGCGUAGUCGAUGGGAAACGGGUUAAUAUUCCCGUACUUGGUGUUACUGCGAAGGGGGGACGGAGAAGGCUAUGUUGGCCGGGCGACGGUUGUCCCGGUUUAAGCGUGUAGGUGUGUGUUCCAGGUAAAUCCGGUUCACUUUAACACUGAGGCGUGAUGACGAGGCACUACGGUGCUGAAGCAACAAAUGCCCUGCUUCCAGGAAAAGCCUCUAAGCAUCAGGUAACAUCAAAUCGUACCCCAAACCGACACAGGUGGUCAGGUAGAGAAUACCAAGGCGCUUGAGAGAACUCGGGUGAAGGAACUAGGCAAAAUGGUGCCGUAACUUCGGGAGAAGGCACGCUGACACGUAGGUGAAGUGAUUUACUCACGGAGCUGAAGUCAGUCGAAGAUACCAGCUGGCUGCAACUGUUUAUUAAAAACACAGCACUGUGCAAACACGAAAGUGGACGUAUACGGUGUGACGCCUGCCCGGUGCCGGAAGGUUAAUUGAUGGGGUCAGCGCAAGCGAAGCUCCUGAUCGAAGCCCCGGUAAACGGCGGCCGUAACUAUAACGGUCCUAAGGUAGCGAAAUUCCUUGUCGGGUAAGUUCCGACCUGCACGAAUGGCGUAAUGAUGGCCAGGCUGUCUCCACCCGAGACUCAGUGAAAUUGAACUCGCUGUGAAGAUGCAGUGUACCCGCGGCAAGACGGAAAGACCCCGUGAACCUUUACUAUAGCUUGACACUGAACAUUGAGCCUUGAUGUGUAGGAUAGGUGGGAGGCUUUGAAGUGUGGACGCCAGUCUGCAUGGAGCCGACCUUGAAAUACCACCCUUUAAUGUUUGAUGUUCUAACGUGGACCCGUGAUCCGGGUUGCGGACAGUGUCUGGUGGGUAGUUUGACUGGGGCGGUCUCCUCCUAAAGAGUAACGGAGGAGCACGAAGGUUGGCUAAUCCUGGUCGGACAUCAGGAGGUUAGUGCAAUGGCAUAAGCCAGCUUGACUGCGAGCGUGACGGCGCGAGCAGGUGCGAAAGCAGGUCAUAGUGAUCCGGUGGUUCUGAAUGGAAGGGCCAUCGCUCAACGGAUAAAAGGUACUCCGGGGAUAACAGGCUGAUACCGCCCAAGAGUUCAUAUCGACGGCGGUGUUUGGCACCUCGAUGUCGGCUCAUCACAUCCUGGGGCUGAAGUAGGUCCCAAGGGUAUGGCUGUUCGCCAUUUAAAGUGGUACGCGAGCUGGGUUUAGAACGUCGUGAGACAGUUCGGUCCCUAUCUGCCGUGGGCGCUGGAGAACUGAGGGGGGCUGCUCCUAGUACGAGAGGACCGGAGUGGACGCAUCACUGGUGUUCGGGUUGUCAUGCCAAUGGCACUGCCCGGUAGCUAAAUGCGGAAGAGAUAAGUGCUGAAAGCAUCUAAGCACGAAACUUGCCCCGAGAUGAGUUCUCCCUGAGACUUUAGGUCUCCUGAAGGAACGUUGAAGACGACGACGUUGAUAGGCCGGGUGUGUAAGCGCAGCGAUGCGUUGAGCUAACCGGUACUAAUGAACCGUGAGGCUUAACCUUACAACGCCGAAG